Castor canadensis (American beaver) is the source of this 807-nucleotide non-coding RNA. The record is from RefSeq and is a predicted model, not a curated record. Lineage: Eukaryota; Metazoa; Chordata; Mammalia; Rodentia; Castoridae.
GAUUUGAACUACAGUUCCGAUUAGGCCCAACUUUGCAGGGAAAAGCUGUUACUGUGUAUACAAAUUAUCCAUUAUCUGGAGAAACAUUUAAUCGAGAAAAAUUCUGUUCCCUGGAUUGGGAAAAUCCAACUGAAAGAGAAGAUGAUUCUGACAAAUACUGUAAACUCAAUCUGCAACAGUCUGGAUCCUUUCAGUAUUACUUUCUUCAAGGAAAUGAGAGAAGUGGUGGCGGUUACAUAGUUGUGGAUCCUAUUUUGCGUGUUGGGGCAGAUAAUCACGUGUUACCCCUGGACUGUGUUAUUCUGCAGACGUUUUUAGCUAAGUGUUUAGGACCCUUUGAUGAAUGGGAAAGCAGACUUAAGGUUGCAAAAGAAUCAGGGUACAACAUGAUUCAUUUCACCCCACUGCAGACCCUUGGAUUAUCUAGGUCCUGCUACUCCCUUUCUGACCAGUUAGAAUUAAAUCCUGACUUUUCAAGGCCUAAUAAAAAGUAUACCUGGAAUGAUGUUGGGCAGCUAGUAGAAAAACUGAAAAAGGAGUGGAAUAUUCUUUGUAUUACAGAUGUUGUCUACAACCAUACUGCUGCUAAUAGUAAGUGGAUCCAGGAACACCCAGAGUCAGCGUAUAAUCUUUGUGAACUCUCCUCACUUAAAACCUGCCUGGUCUUAGACAGAGCACUUUGGCACUUUCUCCUGCGUUGUGGCAGAUGGGAGGUACAGAGAAAGAGGAAUUCCUGCCUUGAUUGAAAAUGAUCAACAUAUGAAUGUGAGUGUGUAUGGAGGAGUACCAUAGCAAACCAGGAUAACA